AAAUAUAAAUAAUAUAAAAUACAAAAAAACGAGUCCCAAACAUCGGGGUGUCACUAAGUCAUGAGCGUCUAAAACUAGAAACUAAGAUAUAUAAACUGAUUAACUGUCCAAAAGAAGAAAUGACAAAAGAAGUAGCAAGGUCAUGCGGACGCUGACAGCUACCUUGCAAUCUGCAUAGAUAUCCGGCCUGAAAUCAAUGAUCGUCACACUCUAACUCACCUGGAUCUGCACAUAAAGUGCAUGGUGUACUAUGAGUACUACCACCUCAGUAGUAACAGAAAUAACUAAAGAACUGAGCAGUAGUGACGAGCUAAGUAAAACAGUUCAAUUAUUUAUUUUCACAAUUAAAAGAUAAACCAGUAAAUUUUAUAACUCAGUAAAUUUCACAAAGAAACUAAACAGAUAAAUGCAGCAACAACAACAGUAGAUGCAACUUCACAGCAAUGUCACUCAAUCAACACUCAACACUCAACACUCAAUACUCAAUACACUCAACACUCUGCGCUCACUGGGGGUGUGUACAGACUCCGGAGGGGCUCCCAAAGCCGAAGCGCUAAGCACGGACAACUCACGUGCCAUCAUAUCAAUACCUGUAUUCGCACGGUCAACUCACGUGCUACGCGGAUAACUCACGUACUAUGGUAUCAACUCACGUGCCAUCAUACCAAUACCUGGAUCCGCACGGUCAACUCACGCGCAAUGGUAUCAAUACCUGGACCUGCACGGUCAACUCACAUGCGAUCGGAUAACUCACGCGCCAUGGUAUUAAUAUUCUCACAACCAGACCCUUGGCCUUACUCAAUCAUGUUCCUCACCAGCCUCACCGUAAUCAACAAUUAAGGGGACACAUCCCACAUCAAGUAUUACAGCAUAUUAGCAAGUAAUAGAGACUUAGGUAAAUGUUUGAGUAAAAAUAAUGAGCCUGAAUAAAACCUAAGCAUUAUCUCUAACAUGAAGGCAGAAAAGUUCAACAACAAGUACUUAUAAUAAUUCCUAUGUUUGAGUAAAAAUAAUAUGAGCAUGAAUAAAACCUAAGCAUUAUCUCUAACAUGAAGGAAGAAAAGUUCAACAACAAGUAAACACAUAAUCACAAAUAAUAGUUAUUAGGCCUCCUAGCCUCACGGGACGGACCAAGUCUCAAUCCCCCGCGGUGCAAACCCAUACAUCCGUCACCUAGCAUGCAUAUCACCACCAAACAAUCACAUGAUAUUACUUUCUUCGGGUUUAUACACUCAAAGCCAGAGUUAAAGCUGUUACUUACCUCAAUCACAUAAAAUCCUACUCCAGGAUGCCCUCGUCUCUGGACUCAGUCUCCAAAAGCUCCGAAUCUAACCAUAAUCAGAUUACUACUACCAACAUACUCUAAAGAAUCGAAUUCCACAAUAAAAACUAAAAAAUAUAAAAAUAAUCCGAAAUUGGCCAAAACUCGGCCCCUGAACCAUAUCUCAGAAUUAGUUUAAAAUGGUAGAAUAAUAAUC
RNAcentral lists this long non-coding RNA (1478 nucleotides) under Nicotiana benthamiana. RNAcentral describes it as "long non-coding RNA (NBEN_LNC028177)". Lineage: Eukaryota; Viridiplantae; Streptophyta; Magnoliopsida; Solanales; Solanaceae. The record is from RNAcentral.